This 610-nucleotide unclassified non-coding RNA is filed under the name Hevea brasiliensis (rubber tree). Lineage: Eukaryota; Viridiplantae; Streptophyta; Magnoliopsida; Malpighiales; Euphorbiaceae. The record is from RNAcentral.
CGAAAAGCCCUUCCGUCUCUAAUUUUUCUUGCCUUUGUUCGACUCUUAACCCUAACCCCUCUUCUUCCCGGUAAAAUUUUUCGUUCUUUUUUGGCGGAAAAUUGAUCGAGGAAACAAGAAUGCAACAUCAGAGAUUGAAGCAACAACAACAACAAGCUUUGAUGCAGCAAGCUUUGCUUCAACAACAGUCGCUUUACCAUCCUGGUCUCUUAGCUCAUCCUCAGCUUGAACCAAUUCCAAGUGGGAAUUUACCACCGGGGUUUGAUCCAAGUACCUGCCGCAGUGUGUACGUAGGAAAUGUACAUACACAGGUAACAGAACCACUUCUUCAAGAGGUUUUUGGGAGCACAGGCCUUGUUGAAAACUGCAAGCUUGUCAGAAAGGAGAAGUCAUCCUAUGGAUUUAUUCACUAUUUUGAUCGCAGAUCGGCUGCUAUGGCUAUUUUGUCACUUAAUGGAAGGCAUUUGUUUGGGCAGCCUAUCAAAGUAAAUUGGGCUUAUGCUAGUGGUCAGAGAGAGGACACAUCAGGUCAUUUCAACAUCUUUGUGGGUGAUCUUAGCCCUGAAGUUACUGAUUCUACUUUGUUUGCAUGCUUUUCUGUUUUCCCUAG